This 30-nucleotide non-coding RNA is filed under the name Rattus norvegicus (Norway rat). The record is from RNAcentral. Lineage: Eukaryota; Metazoa; Chordata; Mammalia; Rodentia; Muridae.
UGAGCUAAUAUAGCAGAGAGGAGGGAGUAG